CCCUUAGAUGUUCUGGGCUGCACGCGCGCUACACUGAAGCGUUCAACGAGUAUUCACCUUGCCCGGGAGGGUUGGGUAAUCUUUUGAAAACGCUUCGUGAUGGGGAUAGAUUAUUGCAACUAUUAAUCUUCAACGAGGAAUACCUAGUAGGCGCAUGUCAUCAGCGUGCGUCGAUUACGUCCCUGCCCUUUGUACACACCGCCCGUCGCUCCUACCGAUUGAAUGAUCCGGUGAGGCCCCCGGACUGUGGCAACGGCUUUGGUUCGCCAAACUGAUGCCGCGGGAAGCUGUCCAAACCUUAUCAUUUAGAGGAAGGAGAAGUCGUAACA
Molecule: ribosomal RNA, 329 nt
Filed under: uncultured eukaryote
Lineage: Eukaryota
Description: partial 18S ribosomal RNA
Rfam family: Eukaryotic small subunit ribosomal RNA
Source: RNAcentral